GAGUUUGAUCAUGGCUCAGGACGAACGCUGGCGGCACGCCUAACACAUGCAAGUCGAACGGAGAUAUUUUGGUUUACUGAGAUAUCUUAGUGGCGGACGGGUGAGUAACACGUGAGCAACCUGCCUCUGAGAGAGGGAUAGCUUCUGGAAACGGAUGGUAAUACCUCAUAACAUAACGAAGCCGCAUGACUUUGUUAUCAAAGAUUUAUCACUCAGAGAUGGGCUCGCGUCUGAUUAGAUAGUUGGUGAGGUAACGGCUCACCAAGUCGACGAUCAGUAGCCGGACUGAGAGGUUGAACGGCCACAUUGGGACUGAGACACGGCCCAGACUCCUACGGGAGGCAGCAGUGGGGAAUAUUGCACAAUGGGGGAAACCCUGAUGCAGCGAUGCCGCGUGGAGGAAGAAGGUUUUCGGAUUGUAAACUCCUGUCUUAAAGGAYYAUAWUGAYGGUACUUU
RNAcentral lists this ribosomal RNA (457 nucleotides) under uncultured Bacillota bacterium. Its description in RNAcentral is "bacterial SSU rRNA". The record is from RNAcentral. Lineage: Bacteria; Bacillati; Bacillota.